Molecule: ribosomal RNA, 457 nt
Filed under: uncultured bacterium
Lineage: Bacteria
Description: bacterial SSU rRNA
Rfam family: Bacterial small subunit ribosomal RNA
Source: RNAcentral
UACGGAAGGCAGCAGUGGGGAAUAUUGCACAAUGGGCGAAAGCCUGAUGCAGCUAUGCCGCGUGUAUGAAGAAGGCCUUAGGGUUGUAAAGUACUUUCAUCGGGGAGGAAAAACAAAACUAAUAAUUUUAUUUCUUGACGUUACCCGAAAAAGAAGCACCGGCUAACUCCGUGCCAGCAGCCGCGGUAAUACGGAGGGUGCUAGCGUUAAUCAGAAUUACUGGGCGUAAAGAGCACGUAGGUGGUUUUUUUAAGUCAGAUGUGAAAUCCCUGGGCUUAACCUGGAACUGCAUUUUGAAACUGAAAUACUAGAGUAUCGUAGAGGGAGGUAGAAUUCUAGGUGUAGCGGUGAAAUGCGUAGAUAUCUGGAGGAAUACCUGUGGCGAAAGCGGCCUCCUAAACGAAUACUGACACUGAGGUGCGAAAGCGUGGGGGAGCGAAACAGGGAUUAGGAUACC